UGGCUAUUAGAAGAUUGAAUGAUAUGAAAAAUACUGAUUUUUCUUUUUGUAUUUUGUGUCUGUUAAUGAGUGACUGUCUUCAGGUAAAUGAUCUGGAGUGUGUUUGCAUAUUGAUCAGAUGCUUCAGUGCUCUGAGAGUGUUUAUAGUGCUGUGAGUUUAACACUUCAUCACUGACACACACAACAAUCUUCAUCAACAUGACCUUCAUCAUCAUCUUCAUCUGGACUCUCACAGCGUUUGCUCAAGAGUGUAGAGGACAGAUCACCGUCACUCAGAGUCCCUCAAUGACAGCAGCUCAACCAGGACAAACUCUGAACAUCAACUGUAAAACCAGCACAGAUGUGUAUUAUCAAAGUUCUUAUGGACAUUAUUUAGCCUGGUACUUACAGAAACCUGGAGAAGCUCCUAAACUCCUGAUUUAUUUAGCAAACACCCUCCAGUCAGGAACUCCAUCUAGAUUCAGUGGCAGUGGAUCUAACAGUGAUUUCACUCUGACCAUCAGUGGAGUCCAGACUGAAGAUGCUGGACAUUAUUACUGUAUGAGUUUCCACUAUCCAAACAGUCAAUAUGUGUUCACACAGUGA
Molecule: non-coding RNA, 585 nt
Organism: Megalobrama amblycephala (Wuchang bream)
Lineage: Eukaryota; Metazoa; Chordata; Actinopteri; Cypriniformes; Xenocyprididae
Source: the annotation of a RefSeq genome assembly